UCACUACGGAAUAGUCCCGGGAAACUGGGUUUAAUACCGUAUACGCCCUUCGGGGGAAAGAAUUUCGGUGAGGGAUCGGCCCGCGUUAGAUUAGUUAGUUGGUGGGGUAAUGGCCUACCAAGACUACGAUCUAUAGCUGGUUUGAGAGGAUGAUCAGCAACACUGGGACUGAGACACGGCCCAGACUCCUACGGGAGGCAGCAGUGGGGAAUCUUAGACAAUGGGGGCAACCCUGAUCUAGCGAUGCCGCGUGAGUGAUGAAGGCCUUAGGGUCGUAAAGCUCUUUCGCCUGUGAUGAUAAUGACAGUAGCAGGUAAAGAAACCCCGGCUAACUCCGUGCCAGCAGCCGCGGUAAUACGGAGGGGGUUAGCGUUGUUCGGAAUUACUGGGCGUAAAGCGCACGUAGGCGGAUUAGUCAGUCAGAGGUGAAAUCCCAGGGCUCAACCCUGGAACUGCCUUUGAUACUGCUAGUCUUGAGUUCGAGAGAGGUAAGUGGAAUUCCGAGUGUAGAGGUGAAAUUCGUAGAUAUUCGGAGGAACACCAGUGGCGAAGGCGGCUUACUGGCUCGAUACUGACGCUGAGGUGCGAAAGUGUGGGGA
Molecule: ribosomal RNA, 599 nt
Filed under: Celeribacter sp.
Lineage: Bacteria; Pseudomonadati; Pseudomonadota; Alphaproteobacteria; Rhodobacterales; Roseobacteraceae
Description: bacterial SSU rRNA
Rfam family: Bacterial small subunit ribosomal RNA
Source: RNAcentral